CCUGUUGUUGUCCAUGCUUUAUGCCUCAUCCUCCUCGUGUUUCCCCUGUAGCCUACGUGUUUUGUCUUGAUUUGAAUUCAUCUUCUCCUGCCCGCCUCUUUCCAUUUGGGUCCAUCUGCCUCAACCUGACAAUAUCACAGCAUCCGCAGCUCUGAACAUCCCACAGAGCAUAAUUCGCUUCAUUAUCCAAACCGGAAAGAGUACAGCACAACUACCAACCUACCAAUAUACAAAUAUACAAAUAUGACAUGGCUGUUGACCUAAACUGACAGGCCAGUCAGGGAGAGCAUUAAUCAGGAACCUGAAGGUCCAUGGUAACUUUAAAAGAGAUGGAGAGCUCCAGAGCUCAGGUGGCGGAACCUGUUUACAAGACGACUAUUCUUCGUGUAAAUUUAGUGUUUACGUCUUAGUUGUUCCCCCAAAACCCUUAAGUAAGAAACAUGAGUUCAGUUGGAGGAUUCUGUUUACCUGCAGCAAACUGUCAAGGCCUCCAGGAUAUUUAGAGAAGGCCCUCUGUGUGUUCUUAGCAAAACAAUCACCAUAAUGAUGAAUAGAUCUAAAAAAACAAGUAAUGUUUUUAGAUACUAACCUUUAAGAAAAUGUAUCAGUGAUUUUUUUAAAUUAUAUAGCCCUUUACACAGCUAAUAAGGGUGACCAAAGUGCUCAACAAUUAAAAAUGAUUGAAAAAUAUAUAUAUAUACAAAGAUGAAUAAAACGGUGAACCAUAAGAAGAGGCAAUAAAUAUAAAAAAAUCUGGAACGGAAUCUCAGGGUGAAUCUUGCUGUUAAAAGCCAGCCUGAAAAAAACUGUUUUGGGCUUUAAUUUGAAAAGACUUCAAUCAGAGGUGGAGCGCAGAACCCAGAGGGAGCUGGAUCCAGAAUCUGGGUGCUGCCACGGAGAAAGCCAGAUCACCUCAGCGUUUGGACCUGGUCUUUGGUAUAUCUGAUAAAAGCCGAUCUGAAGAUCUCAAAGACUUAUCAGGGAAAGCAAAGAUCAUAAUAACAACAAGGAAGGCAAUGUAAAGAGGAAAGAUCAGGGGUGAUGUGAUCAUGUUUGGAGGUGUCGGUUAGAAGACUGGCAAUAAUUCUGGACAAUCUAAAAGCAAUUGAGGCAACUGAUGACUAAAAGAAACAAAAUUAAAAGACAUGGCAGUAAUCAGUUCUAGAGCUGAUAAAAACAUGAAGAUCCUGUUCCAGGCCCGGCCGGACGUGUUAGAGGCUUAACUUUGGUCAGAAGAUGUCAAUAAUAAAAGCUUCAUUUUACCACAGAGCCAAUUUACUUGUGGAUUUUAAAUCUCUGUCAAACAUUACUCCAGAGUUCUCAACAGAACCGUUCAAUUUCUAAGUUAGAGAACCGACAUCAACGGUGGCAUUGUCACCAAAUAAAAUGCGUUCACUCUUUUUCCUUCAUUUAAAAAUAGAAAAUUGAGGUCGAGCCACUGUUUGACAGCAGUGACGCAGUUAAGGAGGAAGUGACAAAUAUGACUGUCACCUGGCUACAAGGAUAGGUGCAUCUCGUAAUCAUAACCAUGACGAUGAAGGGAUAGCUGGUGCUGGGUAAUAACUGAUCCAAGCUGGUGGUGAUUCCUAAUGCGGUCAAGAUGUAGAAAAUCACAUGUCUAUAAAUGGCUGCUAAAUGUGCGCACAAUUACUGUAAACUAUCCAUUAUUUACACUUGAUAUAGUUUUAUUGUUGACUGUUCAGUUUCUGACUGUUCUCUUGGUCUACCCUUCAGAUAUAAUUGAGUAAUAGAUGUGAUUGUGUGACAUUUGUUUAAAUCAGAAGGGGUCAGAGUGAUCUGUUUGGCAUUAUUAUGUUUUGAGCCAUCAGUACAGAAACGUCAGUGAAUUUGCACUUGUAAAUGGUAUGAAUUGCAGCAAAACAUCUAGUAUAUCCCUGCGUGCUUACCUUCUAAUUCUAAGAAGUGUCUCGUCGGCUUCUAACACUUUAGAGACCUGGACAGCAGUAAAUGCGGUCUCACCAGACUUCUUUGAAACAGUUUGGAAAGACCCUUGAUGUAUAACACUCUGAAAUAUUAAUGCCGCAGGGGGUGCUGCCGGGUCUCUGCUUCCAUAUGGCUACUUUACAAGCUGCAUAAAGAGGAUACUGGGAUGCACGCUUCCCAGAGCCAAAAAAAAAAGUUUCCUCAAGUAGGAUUGUAGAAAUGGAAUUGGUCCAAGGAGUGAUUUUGAAGCAAGGCUGAUAUCUGCAAGAUCUGACCUUACAUUUUAUGGAGGCUGCUGGAGAAGGUGCGGCUUACCUUUAACACCAAUUAUCCCAGAGACGAGGGGGCCCUGAGGGGGCUGCACAUCCUGCAUCGGAGCAGACAAGAAGAGGGUGUCAGUGUGUGACACGAAUGAUCGAGUUACCUCUGCAGCUGUGGAUGAGUGUUCUUUCAAAGCUAGACAAACCACUCUCUAUCAGAGGAAAACUAUUCCCCGCGUUAACAGGAUCCCUGGUAUUUAUCCUCCAGUUUGAAACAUCUGUUCCCUGAAAGACUAAAGUUGAAAAGUUUGUUGGCAACAGUGGAGUUUCAGCUCCGUCAUCCGAGCCUCCUCAAGAACUUUACUCCAAAGCUAUCUUUUAACAGUAUAGGCUUACUCUCCAGGGUGCCACUGCUACACAGGCUGAAAGCGCGCCUGCUGAAUUUCUUCUCAUUAUUCAGAAGCAACUCAUGCACUGUCUAACAGAAACAAAAAACUGCACUGUUGUACCUUCCAAAAAUAGAAAAAAAGGAAGGCAAAAACAUAGAACCUCUGUGUUUUUUUAAGCCUGCCGCAGCUCUGGUACAUGGGCUGAAUUUACAUGGUGCUUUUCUAGUCAUACCGACCACUCAAACAGGUUUACACCAAAACCACAAAAACCCAAUCGCCCUUAUACACACAUACUCCUUCACUGGCACACAGAGUACUAUGCAACUGGGGUCAGGUUCCUUGCCCAGGGGUAAAUCAGCAAGUUGCAGGAAGAAUCUGGAGUUAAACCCACAGCAUUAAUUGAAAAACAACUACUCUACCCAGUGAGCUACGGUUACCCAAGUUCAAAACCCUAGUGUCCAAACAGCAUCAUUAAGACUCAGGGACAGAGCAGGCAAGUCUGCAAUAAAGUUGUAGAGAGAUUUAAAGCAGGGUAACACCUCCAGUUUUGAACAUCUUAUAGAGCUCAAUCUUUUAUCCAAAAAUAGAAACAAUAAGGCACAGCUAACCGACUUACCAAUGCAUGGCCUUCUACCUAAACUAGCAGGCAAAGCAAGGAAGGCAUUAUUCAGAGAAGCAGUCAAGAGACCCUGGUAACCUUGGAGGACCUGCAGAGAUCCAAAGCUUAGGUAGGAGAACUUGUCAAUAGCACAACUAUUAGUCGUGCAGUCCUUAAAUCUGGCCCUUACAGAAAAUUAGAUUGUUUAUCCUACUUGCAAACACAAUUUGUGUUGGAAAACUGGCCCUAGACGUAGGCCUGAAAACCUGCAUCCCCACAGGGGAAUAGCGGCAGUGUAGGGCUUUAGUGUAGGGCCAGGAAUUAAAUCUUGAAGAAAAAGUUGAUGAAUGGACGGUAAAACCUACCAUAGGCUGUGGCGGUGGUUCAGCUUCCAGCUGGAGAAUGACCCUAAACAGACAGUGGGUUUUAAUGGAGGAGUUUUACAUUAAUUUUAAUAGAGCUAAUGUCAUUAUACAUCCUUAGUGGUUUUAAUGGCUUUACCUAGUUAGGUUUGAACCCAUUGCGUCCAGUUCAUUCAUUGAGAUAUUCUGCUGCUGCUAGGAACCCGUUGCUGCUAUGCCUCCAUGCACUUUAUUUUUUUUCCAAAUGCACUUUGAAUUAUUUUUGGAGAAAAAAAUAAAAAAUAAAAAAUAGGAUUGAGGACCUCAAAGCUGUCUGGCUUCCAGCAUUUUCUUUGGUACACCACUGUUAUCCCUACCGCUCGUUGCCUACCUGUCCACAAGGGCACUAAUAUUUUUGCAUGGCACUAUAACUACAAUAUUUAGGUUUAGAUUAAAGAGAAAGAUCGACACCUCAGAGCGACACUGGUCGGAGGCUGAAUGAAGCUGGGGAACACUGUGGGCUGUUUCUGUGAAGUGCACAGCAGAGGCAAGUCCAGGUAAGAUUCAUUAUCCUUUAUUGAUUCUCUCUAAUAUCUCAAAGCCAAGGAGAAGAUGAAGAUAAAAGAGAAGAAGAUAGGUCACAGAGGCAGCGAGACUUCAGCACUGAGAAAGGAGCUGGUUUUAAAGUCCUAUAUAUGUAGCCCAUUCUCCUUAGUCAGCACUUUCUGUCAGCGUCAGCACUGACUGAGGUUUAUGAACUCUUGAGCGGGUUAUUAUAAAAACCACAACAAACUCUUGAGGACCGGAAUAGACGCUCCCUGGAUGUGUGUUUCUGCUGCCAUAAAGCAAGUAAAAGCUACGACUGUGAGCAAACUUGAUCUUCUCUCUCCCUCUGUCGUACAAGAACUAUAAAUAAUUUCAAACAGGCAGCGCACACAGUCGCUCCAGGGAGACCCGAGGCAACAGUAGAAUUUCCUGUCUUGUCUCCAGGGUUAGGAUUCCACUUGCAAAUGUUAGCAUCGCUUCCCUUUAAAUUGACAGUUUAAAACAAUGUGAAAGCCCGCAUUUUAGAAAAUAACACUUUGCUGUCCUUUAUAAAUGCCGCACUUGAGCGAACAAUGGCGGGUGCUCAUAAUGGCUGCAUCUCGUUGACCCCUGUCCAGCUUCAGAGGCCAAAACCAACAGCCAUCAGCUGCCUCUUCCUCGAGGAAGAUCAAUAACGAGAGGAGGCCAAAACGAGGCAGAAACACGUCACAGGUGGAGGAAGAUGAGGCCUUGCCUGCCGUGAAGCUCCGCUGAAGACCAUCGCUUAGAAGAGGAGCAGGAUUUGACAGAAGCUCUUUACUUGUCGCAUAACGGCGGCAGGAUGGAAGCGCACUCUUGGGAGCGGCAGUGGCUCCUGGGUCACGUAUGAUAUGGAGGGAACAUUUCCAGCUUUGCAUUGCACGGCUUUUUAGGUGGUCUGUUUAAGCCAAGCCUUGAGAGCUAUAAUCCUGUAACCUUUGCAUGCAUCCAUGGUAAAACAAACCCAAAUUCCCUCAUCUGCAUGUCAUUCAGCUCUGCAGAGGCCUGGCAACAAGAUAUUCAUUUGAUUCAGGAGAAUGGACGGAUCUGAAAGUUGCAGGGAAGUAGCUGUGGAGGAGCUGCUUCUUUCCUUCCUUCCUUCCUGUCCGCCUGCUGCUGCCAGCUUCAAACUUAUACUAUAUUAGCCAAUAAAGAUGUAUCUAAACAUUUA
Molecule: long non-coding RNA, 5267 nt
Organism: Fundulus heteroclitus (mummichog)
Lineage: Eukaryota; Metazoa; Chordata; Actinopteri; Cyprinodontiformes; Fundulidae
Exons: 3
Source: RefSeq, a predicted model, not a curated record